UUAAAAAGCUCGUAGUUGGAUUUCUGGCGUCGCCGCCCGGUCGGCCUCGAAAGGGGUUCGCACUCGUUGGCGCGCGUCGCCAUCCUCGGGGGAAGGCCGCCUGGCAUUAAGUUGUCGGGCGGUCGACGCUCGUCGUUUACUGUGAACAAUUAGAGUGUUCAAAGCAGGCUUAGGCCGUUGAAUACAUUAGCAUGGAAUAAUGAGAUAGGACUUUGGUGGUCUAUUUUGUUGGUUUGCACGUCGAAGUAAUGAUUAAUAGGGGCGGUUGGGGGUAUUCGUAUUCAAUUGUCAGAGGUGAAAUUCUUGGAUUUAUGGAAGACGAACUACUGCGAAAGCAUUUACCAAGGAUGUUUUCAUUAAUCAAGAACGAAAGUUAGGGGAUCGAAGAAGAUUAGAUACCUUCGUAGUCUUAACCAUAAACCAUGCCGACUCGGGAUGGGCGGUCGCUUGUUCAGGCUCCGUCCGCACCGUAUGAGAAAUCCA
This 483-nucleotide ribosomal RNA is filed under the name uncultured marine eukaryote. Its description in RNAcentral is "SSU rRNA". It matches the Rfam family "Eukaryotic small subunit ribosomal RNA", at positions 619 to 1101 of the family's 1831-position model. The record is from RNAcentral.